Long non-coding RNA from Clarias gariepinus (North African catfish), 383 nucleotides. RefSeq lists it as uncharacterized. The transcript has 3 exons. The record is from RefSeq and is a predicted model, not a curated record. NCBI's taxonomy places the organism in Eukaryota, Metazoa, Chordata, Actinopteri, Siluriformes, Clariidae.
CAGUGCUCCUUUAGCUCUAAUCCCAGCGCAGUACCGAGACCUGGUCCUGUUUAAGAUGUCAUUCCUUCUGGUUCUCUCAGGCCGGACGCCGGUCGGGGUUUACUGAAGCGGCGCGCAUGUGCUUUUAUUUCUUGGCGUAUGAAUGGCCCUUAGAGAGAAAUGAAGCAGACUUGAAAUACAAAUUGGAAAAGCAGGAGGCCUUUGUUCUUCACUGCACUGCCAUUCAGAGGGACCUCUAGUGGCCGACCGUCUGUAUAACAGGUGUUCAAAUGCACAACAUCCUGGAGUCCAGAAUGUGAUUGGACGAGGAGACAAUCAACAGACAUCUGCUGGACAAAUGUGUAGUUUUAAUUAGUUUAAUACAAAAUGACCAAAAUGUUUCG